UCCAGUGAAUAUAUCACCCUGCAACUCACUACAGGCAACCUGCAGAAUCUAAGCAAGCAUGAGCCUGGACAGUAUCUGGAUGGGAGACCUCCUGGGAAAGCUAAGGUUUCUGCUGGAA
Molecule: ribosomal RNA, 118 nt
Filed under: Lepisosteus oculatus (spotted gar)
Lineage: Eukaryota; Metazoa; Chordata; Actinopteri; Semionotiformes; Lepisosteidae
Source: RNAcentral